AAAGUCUUCAGUUCCAGUUUUAUUUUUGUGUGUUGUUGUUAUUUGUUUGUUUAGAGACAGGGUUUCGCCCUGUUGCCCAGGAUGGAGUGCGGUGGUGUGAUCAUGGCUCAUUGUAACCUUGUACUCCUGGGCUCUAGCAAGCCUCUUGCCUCACCUUCCCGAGUAGCUAGGGCUACAGGCAUACAUCAUCAUGACUGGCUAAUUUUUUUUUGUUUUAUGUAGAGACAAGAUCUUGCUAUGUUGCCCAGGCUGAUCUUGAACUCCUGGCCUCAAGCCAUCCUCCUGCCUUGUCCUCACAAAGGAAUGGAAUUACAGCUAAACUCAUGUAUGAGUUGAAGAGCUGCAAAAGUUGUCAGGAUCAAAAUGGAGUCACUUGUGUAAAAAAAACCCUGACAAACACAGUUGAGGAAGGCCAUGAAGAGAAGGUUCAUGCAUAAAUGACUAAUAACAAAAACUAUCACAAAAGAUUCUACGAAAAACACGACCUUGCACAAAGGCCAUCACAACCUUAUACAAAAAAAAUACUUCUGUGAGGACAUCUGUCCAGCAACUGCCUAUUCAAUCUUGGACUGGAGUCAUCCUGUAUCCUUACAGCCAAGAACAAUAGUCUCAAAACAAUUCUGUAGAGCUGAGCACGGUGGCUGCCUAUAGUCCCAGCUACUUGGGAGGCUGAGGUGGGAGGAUCACUGGAGCCUAGCGGGUCGAGGCUCCGGUGAGCUGUGAUUAGGUCACUGCACUCCAUCCUGUGCCACAGGGUGAGACUUUGUCUUUAAAAAUAAAAUAAAAUGAUGUAACCUUCCUCAUUUUUUUCCUUUAAAAAUCUUUGUCUUCCUUUACCUCCUUAAAUAUGCACAUAGUUUACUAUGAUAAGCACACUUACUCCUAUUGCAAUGUCUAUUCCCUAAGAAAUAUAAUUUUCUUUUAAAGAGCCUCUUUAUGACAGAGCUUUUUUGGGGACGGGGAGAUGGUGG
Molecule: long non-coding RNA, 971 nt
Filed under: Homo sapiens (human)
Lineage: Eukaryota; Metazoa; Chordata; Mammalia; Primates; Hominidae
Description: HSALNT0207005
Source: RNAcentral